GUUCUGUUGUUGAGGAAGAACACACAGUCUAGGAAAUGAUUCUGUGCUGACGGUACUCAACCAGAAAGCUCCGGCUAACUACGUGCCAGCAGCCGCGGUAAUACGUAGGGAGCGAGCGUUAUCCGGAAUUAUUGGGCGUAAAGCGUGCGUAGGCGUUUUGUUAAGUCAAAUCUGAAAGCCCCCAGCUUAACUGGGGAGAGUGAUUUGAAACUGGCAGAAUUGAGUACGGCAGAGGUUAGUGGAAUUCAAUGUGUAGCGGUGGAAUGCGUAGAUAUAUUGAGGAACACCAGUGGCGAAGGCGGCUAACUGGACCGGAACUGACGCUGAGGCACGAAAGCGUGGGGAGCAAACAGGAUUAGAUACCCUGGUAGUCCACGCCGUAAACGAUGAGAACUAAGUGUUGGGGUUACCCAGUGCUGAAGCUAACGCAUUAAGUUCUCCGCCUGGGGAGUACGACCGCAAGGUUGAAACUCAAAGGAAUUGACGGGUCUCCGCACAAGCGGUGGAGCAUGUUGUUUAAUUCGAAGAUACGCGAAGAACCUUACCAGGUCUUGACAUCUUCUUGAUCGCUGUAGAGAUACAGUUUCCCUUCGGGGCAAGAAUGACAGGUGGUGCAUGGUUGUCGUCAGCUCGUGUCGUGAGAUGUUGGGUUAAGUCCCGCAACGAGCGCAACCCCUAUUAAUAGUUGCUAACAUUAAGUUGAGGACUCUAUUGAGACUGCCAGUGAUAAACUGGAGGAAGGUGGGGAUGACGUCAAAUCAUCAUGCCCCUUAUGACCUGGGCUACAAACGU
RNAcentral lists this ribosomal RNA (792 nucleotides) under marine sediment metagenome. Its description in RNAcentral is "bacterial SSU rRNA". It matches the Rfam family "Bacterial small subunit ribosomal RNA", at positions 430 to 1223 of the family's 1533-position model. The record is from RNAcentral.